CGCGUAGGCGGUCCUAUAAGUCAGAUGUGAAAGCCCCGGGCUUAACCUGGGAGGUGCAUUUGAAACUGUAGAACUUGAGAUCGAGAGAGGAAAGUGGAAUUACGAGUGUAGAGGUGAAAUUCGUAGAUAUUCGUAAGAACACCAGUGGCGAAGGCGACUUUCUGGCUCGAUACUGACGCUAAGGCGCGAAAGCGUGGGGAGCAAACA
This 207-nucleotide ribosomal RNA is filed under the name uncultured bacterium. Its description in RNAcentral is "partial 16S ribosomal RNA". It matches the Rfam family "Bacterial small subunit ribosomal RNA", at positions 568 to 774 of the family's 1533-position model. The record is from RNAcentral.